This is an unclassified non-coding RNA of Macaca fascicularis (crab-eating macaque), 144 nucleotides long. It matches the Rfam family "Metazoan signal recognition particle RNA". From Rfam's summary of the family: The signal recognition particle (SRP) is a universally conserved ribonucleoprotein. It is involved in the co-translational targeting of proteins to membranes. The record is from Ensembl. Lineage: Eukaryota; Metazoa; Chordata; Mammalia; Primates; Cercopithecidae.
GCUGGGGAUGGUGGCACGUGCCUGUAGUCCCAGCUACUGGGGAGGCUGAGGCAGGAGGAUCGCUUGGGCCCAGGAAUUCUGAGGCUGCAGUGAGAUUGUGCCACUAUACUCUAGCCUGGGCAACACAGUGAGACCCUGUCUCUC